Molecule: ribosomal RNA, 446 nt
Filed under: uncultured soil bacterium
Lineage: Bacteria
Description: bacterial SSU rRNA
Rfam family: Bacterial small subunit ribosomal RNA
Source: RNAcentral
AGAACGAACGCUGGCGGCAGGCUUAACACAUGCAAGUCGAACGGUUGUAGCAAUACAGCAGUGGCAGACGGGUGAGUAACACGUGGGAACCUUCCUAGGGGUACGGAACAACUCAGGGAAACUUGAGCUAAUACCGUAUACGUCCGUGAGGAGAAAGAUUUAUCGCCCCUAGACGGGCCCGCGUAGGAUUAGGUAGUUGGUGAGGUAACGGCUCACCAAGCCUACGAUCCUUAGCUGAUCUGAGAGGAUGAUCAGCCACACUGGGACUGAGACACGGCCCAGACUCCUACGGGAGGCAGCAGUGGGGAAUCUUGGACAAUGGGCGCAAGCCUGAUCCAGCCAUGCCGCGUGAGUGAAGAGGCCUUCGGGUUGUAAAGCUCUUUACCAGGGACGAUAAUGACGUACUGGAGAAUAAGCCCGGACAACUUCGUGCCCAGCCAGCCGAC